Non-coding RNA from Podarcis muralis (Common wall lizard), 679 nucleotides. Lineage: Eukaryota; Metazoa; Chordata; Lepidosauria; Squamata; Lacertidae. The record is from RefSeq and is a predicted model, not a curated record.
GCCAAUCAGAAGUUGCGCUUUGGUUUCCGAACAUUUUGGAAGUCAAAUAGACUUCUGGAACUGAUUCCGUUUGACUUCCGAGGUACGACUGUAGUCUCAUGAGGGUUUGCUGUAGUAGAAGUCUUGCUCCAUUUCUGUCCUAACAUUCUUUAAAGAGCUGCACGUGUGAUGGUAAGCCACAAAUGCUCUAGUUUUCAUGGGCUUCAUUGGGAGCAGCUAAACAAGGCACUAAGCAGAUGGAUGGGGGACAGCAAGGACAUAAGCACACUCCUCUUUAAGGUAUUUUGGGGCAACUCUGCCCUUGUUUGUUACUGUAGCUGUUUUCCACAUUAAGCAGGUACUAUUAGCAACUAAAGUUAUCUUUAAGCAGGUAAGGACAGUCACUUGGGUCAUAGAUCAUACAAUGUAAAAGGGUGAUGGGAAGAGGUGCCUUCUUUCUGAUUUAAAGUAAAUACUGCUCUGAGACUGUGACUGCCAAACCUAUUUAUAAUGAAUGUCAUUACAAUCAGCUGUUCAAAUCAAUGCUUUCUAACUGCAGAUGGUACAUUUUAAGUCUGAUUGCUAUGUAGUAUUUAAUUAUGUUUUACAAUUCCUAUGCUGUUUUUAUACAAUCCAAAUAAAAUGCAGUCAGAAACUAUCUAAUGGGUGGUUUCAGUAGCUGCACAACUCUCCAGUUUAA